AUUUUUUUUUUUCAAAUGCUGCACCGAUGGCCCUAUUUCUUUUUUUUUCUUAGUCUACCACUAUUACACUCAAAAAUGUCAUUGUACAUAUGUUUUGUCAGUGUACAUAUGUUUUUUUGUCAUAUUCAG
Thalassophryne amazonica is the source of this 129-nucleotide long non-coding RNA. RefSeq lists it as uncharacterized. The record is from RefSeq and is a predicted model, not a curated record. Lineage: Eukaryota; Metazoa; Chordata; Actinopteri; Batrachoidiformes; Batrachoididae. The transcript has 3 exons.